GACGAACGCUGGCGGCGUGCUUAACACAUGCAAGUCGAGCGGUAAGGCCUUUCGGGGUACACGAGCGGCGAACGGGUGAGUAACACGUGGGUGAUCUGCCCUGCACUUCGGGAUAAGCCUGGGAAACUGGGGCUAAUACCGGAUAUGACCUCCUAUUGCAUGGUGGGUGGUGGAAAGAUUUAUCGGUGCAGGAUGGGCCCGCGGCCUAUCAGCUUGUUGGUGGGGUAAUGGCCUACCAAGGCGACGACGGGUAGCCGACCUGAGAGGGUGACCGGCCACACUGGGACUGAGACACGGCCCAGACUCCUACGGGAGGCAGCAGUGGGGAAUAUUGCACAAUGGGCGGAAGCCUGAUGCAGCGACGCCGCGUGGGGGAUGACGGCCUUCGGGUUGUAAACCUCUUUCAGCUGGGACGAAGCGCAAGUGACGGUACCUGCAGAAGAAGCACCGGCUAACUACGUG
RNAcentral lists this ribosomal RNA (462 nucleotides) under uncultured bacterium. RNAcentral describes it as "partial 16S ribosomal RNA". It matches the Rfam family "Bacterial small subunit ribosomal RNA", at positions 28 to 507 of the family's 1533-position model. The record is from RNAcentral.